AGAGUUUGAUCAUGGCUCAGAACGAACGCUGGCGGCAUGCCUAACACAUGCAAGUCGAACGAGACCUUCGGGUCUAGUGGCGCACGGGUGCGUAACGCGUGGGGAUCUGCCCUUUGCUUCGGAAUAACAGUCAGAAAUGACUGCUAAUACCGGAUGAUGUCGUAAGACCAAAGAUUUAUCGGCAAAGGAUGAACCCGCGUAGGAUUAGCUAGUUGGUGGGGUAAAGGCCUACCAAGGCGACGAUCCUUAGCUGGUCUGAGAGGAUGAUCAGCCACACUGGGACUGAGACACGGCCCAGACUCCUACGGGAGGCAGCAGUGGGGAAUAUUGGACAAUGGGCGAAAGCCUGAUCCAGCAAUGCCGCGUGAGUGAUGAAGGCCUUCGGGUUGUAAAGCUCUUUUACCAGGGAUGAUAAUGACAGUACCUGGAGAAUAAGCUCCGGCUAACUCCGUG
Molecule: ribosomal RNA, 453 nt
Filed under: uncultured bacterium
Lineage: Bacteria
Description: bacterial SSU rRNA
Rfam family: Bacterial small subunit ribosomal RNA
Source: RNAcentral